Molecule: long non-coding RNA, 3737 nt
Organism: Bacillus rossius redtenbacheri
Lineage: Eukaryota; Metazoa; Arthropoda; Insecta; Phasmatodea; Bacillidae
Exons: 2
Source: RefSeq, a predicted model, not a curated record
CUCCCUUCCAGGAUUAAAAAAAAAAGGGGAAAGAUAGAAUACCUUUGCAACCAAGUUACAUGAGGUUAAACAUAUAUUAUUUUGAAAUUAUUUUUUUUAUCCAUAGUGGGCUGCAAUAAUGUAAAUUCCUCGUCAUUAUAGCCCGACAUGCUUCACACACACACACACACACACAAAAGCGGCAGGAAUAAUUGUUUUUCCAUUUUAAAUUCAGGUUUUCCACACGUAUUUUUUUAAUGCAUUUCUUUCAUACAAACUUUAUGAGUGUUUCGUGCAUUCUGUAGUAUGUAAUUAUGACUUAUUUUAACGAAUUCUCCAAUCAAUUGACCCAAGUACAAAUUACUAAAAACAAAUGAAUUAAAAACCGAAAUAUAAAAUGUUCAGUUUUCUUUCCUCAAACCACAUCACUGCUUGAAUUUCUGUGACCACAAUUCCCCCCCCCCCCCCUUCCCUAAAUAUUUAAUCUGAAGUUCAAUUAUAAAUAAAAAUAACUCAUAAAAAUGAAAUAAUGGCUAAACCGAACCUCCUUUUUCGCAAAAUCCUCGAGAUGACACAGGACACAGGACUCAGAAACAACGAACCCACUCAGCGCUCGUUAAUCGGGAGUUACUCAGUGACUCCGAAGAAAGACGACGACAGGGGGAAAAGAAAAAAAAAAGCUGAAUGGUAUGGGGAGCGUCAAGAUAACACACGUACACCAUUAUUUCUAAGCGUGUCGAUAGCAGAUAGACUCAACGAGCGUGCAUCAUGAAAAAGGCAGUGAAUCAUUUGCCGGCUCACUUAUCAAACAUACUUUAUGCUUCACCCGCCAAACAAAGAGAGAAUUAUGGGAUGCGAUAUAAUUUUCGCUACCCAACUUCAUCUCUAGAAACCUAGCCACGGAUUAAUUAAUGCCAAACAAUCGGCGAUUCUGCGAUCAAACUAUAAUUAAUUAUAUUAAAAAAACGAUUAGUGGGAGAGCACUAAAAAUAUUCCCGAAAUUUCCGACAUUUUAAAUACCACCGGAACGAUGAAAACCCACAUUAAAAAUUCAAAAUUUCUUUUAUUGAGAAAAAAAAAUAUUGUCUGCGUUUUAAAGUGGUUUUAAUGCAAAUGUCAACAAAUAUCCUAACAUUAUUGAACAUUUAAAUCACUUAACAUUCUGUGCUCUUUAAUGCUCAAAUAAAAAUUAUAUAAUGUGCAAUGGCAUUCAAGCAUGUUUCAUAAGAUCGAACGACUGCUUUAAAGAGUUAACAAAUGUAUGAUGUUGAUUUUAAGAGCGUUUAAGAUUUUACGUAUUCAAAAAUAUUUUUAUUUAUUUUCAUAUACAAAAUUUUAUGCCACUGUAUUGUGGCAAUCAUAUAUUAGCCUUACAAUCAAUACUCAUUCUUCCUGAAAGUAUAUUAUUUAAAGGCUCUUAACAAGUUCAUUUUCCAAGAAAAGUAUUUCAAAAAUUUUACUAAAAAAUUUGUGCAUGUUUCUAUAACAUAUUCUGAGGAAAUCAUAUAAAUAAUUUUAUUAAAGCUCAACUUUAACUUAAUGAAAAAUGAUAACAUAUAUAAGGAUUAGUUAUAGUUUACUCCCAAUAAAUUUCAAUUUGGUUGGAACGGAAGGAUAAAUCCCAUGAGUAGGAAAACAAACGAAUGACAUACAAAAUAAGUAUAAGUGACAGUACUAACAAAGAAAGUGACGACAAUAGUAGGCGUUCCAAGUCGAAGUGUUAGUAAUAUCUUGUUAUCAUCUGCGUAAUGACAGCUCAUGCAGAAUCAGAAUAAUUGGUAUAAAACACUGGCAAUGAAAGCACCAUGACACACAACGUAAAAUAUUUUCGGCGGCAGAAGAACAGUAGGGAUGGUCAGAACGGUAAAACAAGAUUAACCAGUGAUAAUUGUCUCGCUGACACUGCUGUCUGCCAUGGCCUCUGCUCAGUUCAAACAUAGACAUCGCUAUAACUUUAGGAGCAUUACAGAACACAGUGGUAAAAUUAGGCAAGAUUGGCUAACUCCAAACCUUUUCUUUGAAAUAAACGUGGGCAACAUCGGACCGGAACCUUCAAUUCCUGGAGCUGGUGAACAGAUCGUCUACGGUAACCUGGGACCAUAUCCUCUACGCUCUGGAGUUGGCGUCGUCUCCUAUGCAGCGUCCAAUAACUCUGGCCCGGCUGUAGCUCCACAUUAUGUAGAGAUAUAUUUUGCUCGUGGCAGCAAUAAUGACGAAGGGAACACUGGAGAGACUGGGCCAUCUCCUGAUCCCGAGAAAGCCAUCUCCUACGACGACCUGGGACCAUAUCAUCUACGGUAUGGAGUAGACAGCGCAUCUUCUGCGGAAUCUGGUGGUUCUCGCAAGUCUGCAGCUCAACAAGACGUGGCAGACAAAUCUACAUUUGGCCGCAAUGAUUACGAUGGCAAGAAUGGAACGGCUGGACCAUCUCCUGAUCCUGAGGUAGCCCUCCCCUACAACAACGAGCAGGGACCAUAUCCUCUACGGUCUGGAGUGGACGGCGCUUCUUCUGCGGCAUCUGGUGGCUCCAGCAAGGCUGAAGCCUUGCUGCAAUAUGAGAGAGUUUAAGCAAAUAGUGUGUAAUAUUAGUAGUUGUAGUGCCUGUCGGUGAAGUGUUAAAUCUCUGAAAUCCUGAACGCUGAAGCGUAAGGAGGUGCCUCCCAUUUCAGGUCACGAUUUUAUAUUUAUAUGAAUCACUGAUCAACUUUUAGACUUUUUCAAUUGUUUAAUUUUCAAGAAAUGAAAAAUAUAUACAGCGCAUACGUUUUGCAUAAUUAGCUGCCAAAGUUACAUUUUAAACGUUUUUGGUUUGUACAAAUAAUGAGAAAUUAAUUUAUUAGUAAGAAUAGUAGUAGGCAUGGAAUUAUUGAUUUAUACGAUUUUGAAAGCAAGUCAAAUGAUAAAUUGUGUGUUUAUAAAUUUAUUUUUGUAAGUACGAGAUUUAAAAUACAUUAUAUGUGCCUGCCAUUUGUAAAAAAAAAUAGUAUCAUUUUAAGUGUUAUCACAUCACUCUCGUUGUGUACAUUGGAUAUGUUACCUACAAACAUUUUAAAUAAUUUUCCUACGUAGGUUUUUUUCCGAGUCUGCACUGCUCUGAAAGACUGAAGGCCUUAUUUCAGUAACGGUACAAAUCCUUUUUUUUUUUAAUGGAAUAAUCUACACUGUCAUGUUGAUACAAGUCAUUUAAUAAAAAGAAAAAAGUUAUUCCAUGGAAAAGAAUAUUUCGGGCACCACAACCACAGAAUUUAAAUGUUAUUAUGUACACCGUAUCUCAAAAUUAACCACAAUGGAUAUGUACUAAUAUUGAAAUAAGGCUAUCAAUUAUUGUACAACGGUAAAAGUAUGGUAAAAUAUCUCUAUUCGUAAUUGCAACCAAAAAAACACAUUAGAGUUUAUUUUUGUAAUUGUAUUGAAAAAAACUUCUGUAUGGAGAAAAUAUAUAAACGUGUAUAUUUUUAACUAUCUUCAACAUAACUGAGAUAACAAUGCUUAAAAAAAAAUUUGUAAUGUGUUAUAAAAUGUUCUAGAAAUUAAAUAUAAUUUGUUUAAAUAUAAUCACGAACAAUUAGUUAAAAAGUCCGCACUAACCGGUUUGAUAUUAUAGAAGAUUUUCUCGCACGGUGGUUGGCCGGUUAUUGCACGCUCGGCUCAGGCGGAACGUGACAAUUUUACGUGCGUGCAGCCGGCGUUCAUCGAUUUGUAAGACGUUAUCACGACAGAAAAAUAAUAAAAGGAGAGAAAAUUUGCUAUCCCUCUAA